This 921-nucleotide ribosomal RNA is filed under the name uncultured Bacillota bacterium. RNAcentral's name for it is "bacterial SSU rRNA". It matches the Rfam family "Bacterial small subunit ribosomal RNA", at positions 1 to 918 of the family's 1533-position model. Lineage: Bacteria; Bacillati; Bacillota. The record is from RNAcentral.
UAGAGUUUGAUCAUGGCUCAGGACGAACGCUGGCGGCGUGCUUAACACAUGCAAGUCGAACGGAAAGGCCCUGCUUUUGUGGGGUGCUCGAGUGGCGAACGGGUGAGUAACACGUGAGUAACCUGCCCUUGACUUUGGGAUAACUUCAGGAAACUGGGGCUAAUACCGGAUAGGAGCUCCUGCUGCAUGGUGGGGGUUGGAAAGUUUCGGCGGUUGGGGAUGGACUCGCGGCUUAUCAGCUUGUUGGUGGGGUAGUGGCUUACCAAGGCUUUGACGGGUAGCCGACCUGAGAGGGUGAUCGGCCACACUGGGACUGAGACACGGCCCAGACUCCUACGGGAGGCAGCAGUAGGGAAUCUUCCGCAAUGGACGCAAGUCUGACGGAGCAACGCCGCGUGAGUGAAGAAGGGUUUCGGCUCGUAAAACUCUGUUGUUAAGGAAGAACACUUUAGGUAGUAACUGGCCUAGAGAUGACGGUACUUAACCAGAAAGCCACGGCUAACUACGUGCCAGCAGCCGCGGUAAUACGUAGGUGGCAAGCGUUAUCCGGAAUUAUUGGGCGUAAAGCGCGCGUAGGCGGUAGAAUAAGUCUGAUGUGAAAGCCCCCGGCUCAACCGGGGAGGGUCAUUGGAAACUGUUUUACUUGAGUGCAGAAGAGGAGAGUGGAAUUCCAUGUGUAGCGGUGAAAUGCGCAGAGAUAUGGAGGAACACCAGUGGCGAAGGCGGCUCUCUGGUCUGUAACUGACGCUGAGGUGCGAAAGCGUGGGGAUCAAACAGGAUUAGAUACCCUGGUAGUCCACGCCGUAAACGAUGAGUGCUAAGUGUUGGGGGGUUUCCGCCCCUCAGUGCUGCAGCUAACGCAUUAAGCACUCCGCCUGGGGAGUACGACCGCAAGGUUGAAACUCAAAUGAAUUGACGGGG